This 672-nucleotide long non-coding RNA is filed under the name Brachypodium distachyon (stiff brome). Its description in RNAcentral is "long non-coding RNA (BDIS_LNC005213)". Lineage: Eukaryota; Viridiplantae; Streptophyta; Magnoliopsida; Poales; Poaceae. The record is from RNAcentral.
AAACUCCUUCAGUACUCCCUAAGACAACCGCUGCGCUCUCGCGGAGGCGAAACAGGCUUCGCCCCGGCGCGUGCUUUCUCCGGCGACUCCUCUCCUCCUGACAGCCUCACUGCCGUCGGUGAGUAGGGGAGUCGCCGGAUCUCGCGUUCGGACCUUGUAUAGCAGUAGGUUUAGGGCCUAAUAGAUUUGGUUUUCGUCCGUCCGGCAGUGGUUUCUUCGGAGACAACGACGGCGCCGGCGAAUAACGUUGUUGUGGAGCCUGGGAGGUGGUCAGGGUGUUGGUGCCGACGGGUUGCGUCGGCGGUUUGCUGGAAGGCAGCAGCAGGUUCUGUACUGAUAUCGUGGUGAGAGGCAGGCGGAUCUGGCCUUUUUCCUCGACGAUGUCGUUGGGAUGGGCAAGAUCUGGAUUUCGACGCCGACGAGCCACAAUGGUAUUGGUUUUGCCUAAGGCGAGCUUCUUGUGAGGUUCAUAAAGCUAUUGCAGCGAUGGAGCCGCGUCGAACUCGGGUUUGCUGGUCUCCGUCCCUUUUCUCUCAGGUGGUCGCUGUGGCGGUGCCGGAGAUGGGCGUCAGGAGUUGGUUCUGGCACAAAUAUACCUUCUAUUUUUUCUUUGUUCCGGAGUCGCUUGUGCUUUUGUUUGGGACCUGGUGUCUUCCAGUUUUCUCUCUGUUG